UGAGUAACACGUAGGUAAUCUGCCUUCAGGUCUGACAUACCCGAGAAAUCGGGGCUAAUAGCAGAUGAUGCAGCGGCUUGACAUCAAGACAGUUGUUAAAGCUUCGGCGCCUGAAGAUGAGCCUGCGUCUGAUUAGCUAGUUGGCGGAGUAAUAGCCCACCAAGGCGACGAUCAGUAGCUGGUCUGAGAGGAUGAUCAGCCACACUGGAACUGAGACACGGUCCAGACUCCUACGGGAGGCAGCAGUAGGAAUAUUGCUCAAUGGGAGAAAUCCUGAAGCAGCAACGCCGCGUGAGGGAUGAAGGGCUUUUGCUCGUAAACCUCUGUAGUGAGGGAAAAAUUUCCAUUCUAUGGAAUAUGAUGGUACCUCAAAAGUAAGCCCCGGCUAACUACGUG
This 396-nucleotide ribosomal RNA is filed under the name uncultured bacterium. Its description in RNAcentral is "bacterial SSU rRNA". It matches the Rfam family "Bacterial small subunit ribosomal RNA", at positions 107 to 507 of the family's 1533-position model. The record is from RNAcentral.